UGAGCCCUGACCAGUGUGGCUCAGUUGGUUGGGUGGCGUCCCGGGCACUGAGAAGUUGCUGGUUCUGUCAGCAGUCGACAAGAGGGUCUCUGGCCGGAGACAAUUCUUGUCUUGCUUGUAGGGAUAAAUUCAAACGAGACAACAAAUAACAGCAAAAGCAGGCAAGGAUUUAUUUGUAGGAAAGCAAGACACUCAAAGAGGACCUGAGUGGGCAGGUCAGCUAUCAGAGACCGAACCGAUGCCCCUCUUGGUUAGGAUUUGGGAUAUUUGUACCCCUAGACUGGAGUAGGUCUCAAUAAGUUGCCCCCUCCCAUGUUUCUUAAAAAAAA
Molecule: long non-coding RNA, 329 nt
Organism: Myotis davidii
Lineage: Eukaryota; Metazoa; Chordata; Mammalia; Chiroptera; Vespertilionidae
Exons: 2
Source: RefSeq, a predicted model, not a curated record